CUAUUUAACCAUGGUGUUUACCUUCUCAAUCGUUGAAAGUGAGAGAACGAACUACACAAACAGACAGAAGUGAGAAGAGGUUAAUGUUCACAGGACAGCCUUCAAAAGUACUUCUGCAGAUGGAGAGCUCUGAUAGUGACAUUGAUACCAGCAGAAAUGAAAACGAGGAACAGCCACUGCCUGAGGCUACUGUGCACAAUCCAACUGAAACAAUAGUGAUUAAUGAGGAGUCCUUCCUGCAAUGUAUUGACCAAGCUACGACUAGUGAAGAACAUCUGAUUUUCCCUGUUGUGGAAGAAUUCAGUCCAUCACAAGCACUCUCUUCAUAAUGCAUCUACUGGUAACUGCAUUGUGAACAACCCUGACACUGCAACUGCUCUGCCCACAGCUACUAGUAAAACAAAUUCUGUCUACCAAACCACAGAAAACCAAGCAAUCAAAACCAAUCUAUUCAACAGCAUCACAAUUUGAAGAGAAUUAAAAGUAAAGUACCUUGCUCAAGAGUACCGCAGCAGUGUCCCCCACCUGGGAUUGAACCCACAACCCUCUGAUCAAGAGUCCUGAGCCCUAACCACUACUCCAUACUGCUGCUGUAGGUAAUUAGAAGACAUUACACAGAACUUCUCAUGAAUGGGCCACCCAAUUUGGACAAGGAUGAACAGUACAUUGAAGAUUGCCUAGACCCCUUGCAAAGCAAUGAGUGGAACAGGUUUAAAGGGGGACUAGGUGUGCUUGAUGCAAUGACUGCGCAUCCUGAGCUGUUCAAGAAUGCAUUCAUCUGGGAGAAGGUAGUGAUGACUUCAGAAAUUAUGGACAGUCUCUUCCAAAUCACCUACAGUCCAGUGGGAAGCAAUAGGAGAAUACUUCAAGAGAAACUUAUUGGCUACUGACGAGAAUUUCUACAGGAUUGUGAAGAGGAGGAAUGCAGCACCCAGCUACCAGAUGUUCUGUCUUUUGUGACUACAGCAAACCUAAUUCCACCACUUGGUUUCGGUCCUCAACCUUCAAUUGAGUUUAUCCAAAGUAAGGAUGGGAAUGGUAAGCUUUCCAAGUACCCAGAGGCAAAUACAUGUGCCAAUGUGCUAAGACUACCUUUUUUGAGAAGCUAUGAACAAUAUUAAACUAACAUGAAUUUUGGUAUUCAGAACUCGCCAGGAUUUGGUCGUGCUUAAUUUUGGUGUUGGUUUUAUGUAGACUUGGUAUUUUUACAGCUGGUUUCACAGACCCAGAUUAGCUCUAAUCUUGGACUACCUUACCUAAAUGAAUGUAAUAUUGAGUAGUCCAAGACUUGUGCUAAUAAGGUUCUGUGAAACUAGCCACUAGACAUUUAUUUCAGUCCUCACUUACUCCAUUUAAAGCUCUACUUGGCAUUAUUAGUCCAUGUUUCUUGGUUAAAUCAAGGCUUUUUUUAUUAUUUAUUUAUAGUUAAAUAUUGGUCACUAAAGCAAUGCAAAAAAAGUAUUUUGAAAGAAAUAAUUGCUUAUUUCAUAAAACACAUUGUCUGGAGAUGCACUUUGUAAACUUGGCAAAUAACAAAUGCAGACAUAAAACAAUAUAGAAUUAAUGAUGCAUUUUCAUGCAUUGCAAUCAGUUGAUACAGAGCCAUUAACCUGUUGGAGCAUAUAUCCGUGUGCUGUACUUUUAUUAUUCUCAUUGAAUGCUAUCUUAUUUGUUUAAUAAUGUGAAAAGCAGCACACUUAAUGAAAAGUACUAGGCCUAUUUUAUGUUUGUAUUUAAUAUUUUUUUUUGAAUAAUCUAAAACCAAAGAUGAUGUUAGGUGGAAGACUAAGAAUUAAAAUUGUGUUUACAAAAGGGUUCAGAUUUAAGGAAUUAUAUUCACAAGAUGAACAGUGAAUUGUUCUUUAAAUUGAUUUUGUGGGGCCAGUUUGACUUAUGAAAAUGUUACUAUUGCAACUUCUGACUCAUUUUCUUUAUUUCCUUAUUUGUAUGAAGAUCCUGGAAUGUUUGGUACUAUUUCACAUUUUGGAGUGCAUUUAAAAUAAAAUAAAAAUCACCACUCCCAUAGAGAGGGUUUGUCUCCAUCCCUCUAAACAGAAGACUUGUUAUAUCAAAAGGAUAGGUUUUAGGCACUUAUAGCAUUUACAUUCACCAUACAUUUAUUUGUAAAUAUGGGUAUCUUAAUUGUUUUUUUACUGAAGUAAUUUAAUGUUGGCCUCAGGGGGUGGUAGCUGGGUUGCUUUAUUAAUUAACAUCUAUCAUCAAUCUCCUAUUUAAACCCCAAUCACUCACUCUAGUGUUUUGCUUUCUUGCAUACGCUGUGACCUGUUCUCUGCGCAAAAUUUAAAACUUAAUUUUCAACAUGAACCAACUCCAAUUCUGAUUAGGAAACAUCCCUGCUGGAUUCUCCUCAACAAUAUCUCAUUUAUUUCUCAGAUGGAAACUCAGUACCGUCUACUUCUAAUACAGACUAACCCAUAGGCUAAUAAGGCUAUAGCCUUAGGCCAUCAUAUUUUGUAGGCCCUCCUUUAGACUCUCCAUUCCAUGUUGAAGUAACAGCUGAGCGAUGGUAGUGCGGCCAUCAGAAUUUUUUUGUCUCAUUAGAUGUUGAUGACAGUAGCGACACAAAUUGUAGCACCCUCAUGGUCAGUUAGCAAACUACUCACUUAGUCUACAGCCUUCACUAGUUGAACACUGUCUCUGUGGCAGUGACCCAUUUUUCAAGCCGUUUCAAUCUUGAGUCUGCCUUUGUUUUUAUUUCCUUUAUUUUAGUGAUCGCGUUUGCUUGCUUCGUUGUAUAUAGUGCUAUUGAUUUAUAGUUUAUUGUAUAGAUAUUUUACAUUCUAUUUAACCGUAUUUGUAAUUAUAAUUUUGGAACCUUGUGGUCAGACAAAUCGAUUCUUCGGAAAGCAAGGUCAAUUUCCAUGUUUUUAUUAUGUUUAUUUUAAGAUUUUCAAAUCUUUACAUUAAAAGUUAACAAUUAUUAUAAUAAACCAUUUAAUAUUUUUUAUUUUUAUAAUCUAAAAAUUGUAUCGCUGGAAAAGUUGUAGAUCUUAUAAAGUUUAAUAUUUUACAAUAUUUACAAUUUUUGUGUGGGAGGGUAGUGGUAGAGCUUAGGGAAGGACUGGAAAUGACAGCACAAGGAGCCGGAAGUGACAUUCAGUCCUGGAGCCCAGUACCAGCAAUGGUAUCUGGGCAGGAUUUUAUUUAAACACACAACGAAAAUAAAUAAUCCUGUAUUGCAGAAAAUGCCCUCCUACCCUGCAAUGAACAAUAUACUCAUAGACUGCUCCUGAUCAAAUCAAUAGCUUUUGCAGCAGCCUCAGAGCAACACAUUCUUCAUCCUCUCAGGUUCUGCA
This is a long non-coding RNA of Acipenser ruthenus (sterlet), 3317 nucleotides long. RefSeq lists it as uncharacterized. The transcript is spliced from 7 exons. The record is from RefSeq and is a predicted model, not a curated record. NCBI's taxonomy places the organism in Eukaryota, Metazoa, Chordata, Actinopteri, Acipenseriformes, Acipenseridae.